This 468-nucleotide ribosomal RNA is filed under the name uncultured bacterium. RNAcentral's name for it is "partial 16S ribosomal RNA". It matches the Rfam family "Bacterial small subunit ribosomal RNA", at positions 28 to 507 of the family's 1533-position model. The record is from RNAcentral.
GACGAACGCUGGCGGCGUGCUUAACACAUGCAAGUCGAACGGAAAGACCCUGCUUUUGUGGGGUGCUCGAGUGGCGAACGGGUGAGUAACACGUGAGUAACCUGCCCUUGACUUUGGGAUAACUUCAGGAAACUGGGGCUAAUACCGGAUAGGAGCUCCUGCUGCAUGGUGGGGGUUGGAAAGUUCCGGCGGUUGGGGAUGGACUCGCGGCUUAUCAGCUUGUUGGUGGGGUAGUGGCUUACCAAGGCUUUGACGGGUAGCCGGCCUGAGAGGGUGACCGGCCACAUUGGGACUGAGAUACGGCCCAGACUCCUACGGGAGGCAGCAGUGGGGAAUAUUGCACAAUGGGCGGAAGCCUGAUGCAGCAACGCCGCGUGCGGGAUGACGGCCUUCGGGUUGUAAACCGCUUUCGCCUGUGACGAAGCGUGAGUGACGGUAAUGGGUAAAGAAGCACCGGCUAACUACGUG